CAGACCACUACCUUCCAUACACCACCCUGGAGCCUCCCUGUGACGGGGCUUCCUGACCGGCCUGUCUGAGCAUGAAAGGGCUGAGCCCUCCAUAGGCGGGCGUGCUGACAGGAUGCACGUGGUGGAGGACAUCUGCUGCAUUUGGCUGUGUGACAUCUCCCCCUCGCCUUCUGAACAGGUCUCUGCAGAGGCCAUGAAAAAUGUGCCAUUCAGCUUUUCUGCUAAUUGUUGAAGGCCCAGCUGCCACCGCUCUGGAUCUACACCCCAUUUGCAAUGAAGCCACACAUCUCGUGAGCCACUCCCAGCCCGUGACUGGGCACAGCAGGGGCCCUAACGCAGGAUAGCUCUGAGGAGGUGUGGGACCCUUGACAGUGGAGGACAUUGGCCCGAGAACUCUUCAUCGACCUGAUCAAACCUCUCUUGGAACUGCAAAGCAGUCUGAGACUCUUCUCCCAGUUUAUUAUCUCCCUAUUAACUAUCUAUAGUGUAGCUCAUUGGAAAAGAGUCAUUAAUUUUGAUUAUCAAA
This 526-nucleotide long non-coding RNA is filed under the name Homo sapiens (human). Its description in RNAcentral is "non-protein coding lnc-SPACA9-1:2". The record is from RNAcentral. Lineage: Eukaryota; Metazoa; Chordata; Mammalia; Primates; Hominidae.